AGCGAACGCUGGCGGCAGGCCUAACACAUGCAAGUCGAACGAACCUUUCGGGGUUAGUGGCGGACGGGUGAGUAACACGUGGGAACGUGCCUUUAGGUUCGGAAUAACUCAGGGAAACUUGUGCUAAUACCGAAUGUGCCCUUCGGGGGAAAGAUUAAUCGCCUUUAGAGCGGCCCGCGUCUGAUUAGCUAGUUGGUUGAGGUAAUGGCUCACCAAGGUGACGAUCAGUAGCUGGUCUGAGAGGAUGAUCAGCCACAUUGGGACUGAGACACGGCCCAAAAUCCUACGGGAGGCAGCAGUGGGGAAUCUUGCGCAAUGGGCGAAAGCAUGACGCAGCCAUGCCGCGUGAAUGAUGAAGGUCUUAGGAUUGUAAAAUUCUUUCACCGGGGACGAUAAUGACGGUACCCGGAGAAGAAGCCCCGGCUAACUUCGUG
This 434-nucleotide ribosomal RNA is filed under the name uncultured bacterium. RNAcentral describes it as "partial 16S ribosomal RNA". It matches the Rfam family "Bacterial small subunit ribosomal RNA", at positions 29 to 507 of the family's 1533-position model. The record is from RNAcentral.